Molecule: ribosomal RNA, 491 nt
Filed under: uncultured bacterium
Lineage: Bacteria
Description: partial 16S ribosomal RNA
Rfam family: Bacterial small subunit ribosomal RNA
Source: RNAcentral
GAUGAACGCUGGCUACAGGCUUAACACAUGCAAGUCGAGGGGAAACGACGGGGAAGCUUGCUUCCCCGGGCGUCGACCGGCGCACGGGUGAGUAACGCGUAUCCAACCUGCCUCUGACUGAGGGAUAACCCGUCGAAAGUCGGCCUAAUACCUCAUGGUAUCGUCUGCGGGCAUCCAACGACGAUUAAAGAUUUCAUCGGUCAGGGAUGGGGAUGCGUCUGAUUAGCUUGUUGGCGGGGUAACGGCCCACCAAGGCUACGAUCAGUAGGGGUUCUGAGAGGAAGGUCCCCCACAUUGGAACUGAGACACGGCCCAAACUCCUACGGGAGGCAGCAGUGAGGAAUAUUGGUCAAUGGGCGAGAGCCUGAACCAGCCAAGUAGCGUGCAGGAAGACGGCCCUAUGGGUUGUAAACUGCUUUUAUGCGGGGAUAAAGUGAGGGACGUGUCCCUCAUUGCAGGUACCGCAUGAAUAAGGACCGGCUAAUUCCGUG